GAGGAAAAGAAACUAACAAGGAUUCCCCUAGUAACGGCGAGUGAAGCGGGAAGAGCUCAAAUUUGUAAUCUGGCACUUUCAGUGUCCGAGUUGUAAUCUCGAGAAGUGUUUUCCGCGCCGGACCGCAUACAAGUCUGUUGGAAUACAGCGUCAUAGUGGUGAGAACCCCGUAACUGAUGCGGAUGCCCGGUGCUUUGUGAUACACUUUCGAAGAGUCGAGUUGUUUGGGAAUGCAGCUCAAAUUGGGUGGUAAAUUCCAUCUAAAGCUAAAUAUUGGCGAGAGACCGAUAGCGAACAAGUACCGUGAGGGAAAGAUGAAAAGCACUUUGGAAAGAGAGUUAACAGUACGUGAAAUUGUUGGAAGGGAAACGCAUGAGGUCAGACUUGCUAUUUGGAAUUCAGCCGCAAGGUGUACUUUUCAAUUCGCAGGCCAGCAUCAGUUUUCGGGGGUGGAAAAGGGUAGAGAGAAGGUAGC
RNAcentral lists this ribosomal RNA (475 nucleotides) under Phenoliferia glacialis. Its description in RNAcentral is "partial large subunit ribosomal RNA". It matches the Rfam family "Eukaryotic large subunit ribosomal RNA", at positions 53 to 540 of the family's 3401-position model. Lineage: Eukaryota; Fungi; Basidiomycota; Microbotryomycetes; Kriegeriales; Kriegeriaceae. The record is from RNAcentral.